GAUGAACGCUGGCGGCGUGCCUAAUACAUGCAAGUCGAGCGAAUGGAUUAAGAGCUUGCUCUUAUGAAGUUAGCGGCGGACGGGUGAGUAACACGUGGGUAACCUGCCCAUAAGACUGGGAUAACUCCGGGAAACCGGGGCUAAUACCGGAUAAUAUUUUGAACUGCAUGGUUCAAAAUUGAAAGGCAGCUUCGGCUGUCACUUAUGGAUGGACCCGCGUCGCAUUAGCUAGUUGGUGAGGUAACGGCUCACCAAGGCAACGAUGCGUAGCCGACCUGAGAGGGUGAUCGGCCACACUGGGACUGAGACACGGCCCAGACUCCUAUGGGAGGCAGCAGUAGGGAAUCUUCCGCAAUGGACGAAAGUCUGACGGAGCAACGCCGCGUGAGUGAUGAAGGCUUUCGGGUCGUAAAACUCUGUUGUUAGGGAAGAACAAGUGCUAGUUGAAUAAGCUGGCACCUUGACGGUACCUAACCAGAAAGCCACGGCUAACUUCGUGCCAGCCGCCGCCGUAA
RNAcentral lists this ribosomal RNA (515 nucleotides) under uncultured bacterium. RNAcentral's name for it is "partial 16S ribosomal RNA". It matches the Rfam family "Bacterial small subunit ribosomal RNA", at positions 28 to 523 of the family's 1533-position model. The record is from RNAcentral.